Molecule: ribosomal RNA, 253 nt
Filed under: uncultured bacterium
Lineage: Bacteria
Description: partial 16S ribosomal RNA
Rfam family: Bacterial small subunit ribosomal RNA
Source: RNAcentral
UACAGAGGGGGCAAGCGUUGUUCGGAAUUACUGGGCGUAAAGGGCGCGUAGGUGGCCUGCUAAGUCGAACGUGAAAUCCCCGAGCUCAACUCGGGAACUGCGUCCGAUAAUGGUAGGCUUGAAUCCGGGAGAGGGAUGCGGAAUUCCAGGUGUAGCGGUGAAAUGCGUAGAUAUCUGGAGGAACACCGGUGGCGAAGGCGGCAUCCUGGACCGGCAUUGACGCUGAGGCGCGAAAGCUAGGGGAGCAAACGGG